AUUCAUUUUUCAGUACUUCCAUGGCUACUGUCUUGUUAGAAAAAUUAUACCCUUUUCUUGCUUUGCAUUUGCUCUCCAAGUUUGGGGAUUUUGAUCUGAGAAUUGAAAAAAAAACAUAAAAGUGAAUUAUGUGCUAUUUUCCUAUAACUUGAUGAGAAAAUGAUAAACAGUGAUUCAUAAGUUUAAGAAAUGGAACUGUUUCAUGUGACUUGAGUUUAUUUGUAGAUAUUUGAAGUGAUUUCUGUAGUAUCAGGUAAAUUCAGACAUGUCAGACAUGUGGACAAGUCAAUAUAACCAGAGACAGAGGUCUAGGCAUCUGUGGGGUUCAAUAAGAAAACUCUUAAACAUUUUUUAAACUUCUUAUUUUACUCAUAACUUUAAAAGUUUAUUGGUAUAAACAGAAUUUUUAAAGGGCUAACCUAUUGUGUAAAUGGUAAUUUUUGACACAAAGUGUUUAGAAUACUUAAAGGCAUUUAAAAAAAGUGUUUGGCAUAUAUUAACUCAGUUAUUUCUUAUGACACUCAGUAAAGUAGGUACCUGCUGUAGUUCAUUUGGGCUGCUAUAACAAAAAUAUCAUAGACUGGGCAGCUGAAAGAACAAAUAUUUUCUCACUGUUCUGGAGGCUGAGAAGUUCAAGAUUAAGGCACCAGUAGAUUCAGUGUCUGGUGAGGGCCUGUUCCCCAGUUCAUAGAUGGCACCUUCUCACUGUGUCCUCACAUGUUGGAAAGGGCAAGGGAGCUCUCUGGGGUCAGUUUUAUGGGGUCUGUUUUUAAAGAGCAUUCAUCUCAUUCCUGACGACUCUACUCUUACAGCCUAAUCGCCUCCCAAAGGCCCCACCUCAUAAUACUAUCUGAUUGGAGGUUAGGAUUUUAACAUAUUAAUUUUGAGGCAACAUAAACAUUCAGUUCAUCGUGGUACCUUUCCCAAGGCCACACAACUAGAAAAUGGCAGGGCUGAGAUUUGAACCCUGGCAUUUGGCUCCAGAGUUUUUCCUCUUAAUGACUAUUUUCUUGGUGUGCCUACUUUAAGCAUUCACAGUGUUUCUUAGUCACUUACUCAUUAAUCUUUCAUUUCUUGAGACCUGCUAUUAAUUAGAUGUUGUUAACGGAUAUGUUUUCUGUCCUCAGAAACAUCAGCCUGGAAGUGGGAGACAGAUAGAUCCAUAAACAAUCCCAGAGUGGUACAGAAGGAGCGUUAUAGCAAGAACCGAGGGAGCUAGCUAUCUAAUUACAUCUGUUUUCUUAUAUGCACAUAUUAUGAGGUUCCUGGACCAACUUCAUACUUGGCUUUUCUGAAUGAUGUGUGUAUAAGGGUAGUAAUAGGAAAUUCAUUACUGAGCUAUUUUCAUAGGCCCAGGAAUGACCAAGUUCUGUUCAUACACACACCUGUGUGGUCAUUACAAACAAUACUGAUCAGAAUAACAAAAAAAGUUUUAAACUUUCAUAUGUUCAGACCUUCCCUGGGAUUUGGAACCAAUCCUUUUCUUAGCCAAGGAAGUUUAAAAAUCCUUAAUUUGGUGGCUUGAGGCUGGGUACCAGUACUCCUCUAUCACUUCCUCUCUUCUGGGUGGGUAUUUGGGUUCCAUUAACUUAGUUUCUUCUCUUUUCCUGUGAACUGAUAGUUGGCUUUUUGCGGUAACCAGGUCCUGUGUUCCAUUUUCAAGCUCUGCUUUAAGGUCCUCCAUCUGAUACGCAUUCCAUUUAUUCUGUAUUAAGGCUCUGCUUUCUAGAGACAGAAGUUCUGCCCCUGAGCCUUGCUGCUCGGCCCCUUUUAUGCAGACAGCCUACUUCUCUGCUACCUUUCUGUUCUGUGUUCCCCAGUACUGUGUCCUGUAACCCACUGUCAGAAUGUCCAGUUGCCCUUCUCCAUACUGGCUUGGCUUGUGACAUUCCUUAUCGUCUCACUGGGACCUUUACUAACCAGCUACAUUUUGGUCUUUGGGUCUGGGCAGCACCAAAUCUCACUCAUUCUAGAAUGCCUCAUUUACAUUUAACACUGUCCUAGCUCCUGGGUAGAAUUCAAAGGCGUUAGAUUCUUCUUGUCUGAUGAAAUAUUUAUUGAGUACUAGCUGUGAAUAAGGCAAUACUUUGUGUUGUGACAAAGAAAUAAGUGAAACUUGAUCGUUACUUCCAGAACCACACACUUAAAAGACCAAAAUAAAAUUAGUACAUGUUACAUAAUGGGUUAAAGAAUGGCCUAAAAAGGCCUGGCACAGUGGCUCAUGCCUGUAAUCCCAGCACUUUGGGAGGCUAAGGUGGGAGAAUUGCUUGAGCCUAGGAGUUGGAGACCAGCCUGUGCAACAAAGUGAAACCCCACAUCUACCAAAAAGUAAAAAAUAAAAAAAUAAAAAAAUUAGACGAGCAUGGUGGCAUGUGCAUGUCAUUCCAGAUACACAGCUUAUCACUGUGUCACAAAAGAAAAUUCACUGUUGCUCAUCCCUGAGCCCUGACCUGAUACCAUUGUAGUUUUUUUUUUCCUUGUGAUGACUGUUAAUUCAACCAAUGACAGACCAGUGUUAUUGAAGUAAGGAGUGUUUUAUUUUAGUGGGAUUAAAUGAAUGCUAAAUUUGUUUUUCAGACAAAGAUAGCAUGAUGUGCUUUGGAAAAAAACCUAUUGAUAUAUAUUUUAAUAUAAAUAUUUGCCAAUCAGCUGCCAUUAUUUUAGUGUAUUUUUAUGCUUACCCUGGGAUGCAGCAGCAUACCUUAACAAUGUUUGGAGUCCUUUCUUUUCUGCAUUCUGAUAUAAUUAUCUCCACAUGCCCCCAAAUCUUCCAUAAUGAUGCCCAUAUGAGAGAGACAAAAAGGAUAAAUCUAUUGAUAAACUGAAGUUUGAUUUCCCAUGACACUUUCAGUUACUAGGCAGGGAAGAAGGACAGUGCAGUUUCAAAACUGGAAUAGUGAUUAUGGCCUUCUGAUCUAUUGCUGCCUGUCGGGCAUGUUAAAAAAGAAAAGGAAGAGAAGUUUAAUGCAAAUCACAAUCUCUUUGUGGCAGGGUCAUCUUUGGCUGUUUCGCACUGUAAUAGCCUUUGGAGAAACUGUUUUUCACUUGAGUUCUUUUAGAUGUUGCUUUGAAGAGACUUGAUGCUUCAGGCCCAGAGUUCUCAUGUGAGGUCAAGCAGGAACCCAGAUUCUUUCCGUUCAGGGCUGGUAUCUUGAAUUCUUUUCGGAUUGGGCUCUGCGUCCGUUUCUGCAUCCAGGUAUAGUGCUGAGUCUGUGGGAAAUUAUAACCAUUCAUCAAUGUGAUAUGGUCUCUAUUGGAAAUGUCCCAGCACCAGGAGUACCUAUUCUAGCAGAUAGCCUUGAAUAUUCUAAAAGCCUGUUUUCAGUUCAAGAGUAAAGGUGUAUUGUACAUCUUUCUAGAAUUCAGAGAGACCUUAGGUGUGCAGGUAGGGCAACGCUGGCAGUCUCCCAGAGUGAAGACGGCCUAGGAAUGCCCAGACAUCUCUCCUCCUCUCUGCCUGACCUACCCCCAAUCCAAGCUAAUCUUUGCUGGGCCUAAUGUUCAAAUCUCA
RNAcentral lists this long non-coding RNA (3511 nucleotides) under Homo sapiens (human). Its description in RNAcentral is "HSALNT0342700". Lineage: Eukaryota; Metazoa; Chordata; Mammalia; Primates; Hominidae. The record is from RNAcentral.